UUUUGUCUUUUUUUAAUUGAACUUUUUAAAACAAUAAAAUCGGCAAAGGGUCUGCAAAUAGGUUCCAAUACAUGUAGAUUACGUGGGAAGUAUAUUGUAACAGCCAUUAUUAUGUAUAUCUCUGAGUCUGCGCUAAGUAUAGAUAUAUCGAGAAUUUUAUCACAGUGUUGUUUACAAAGCGAAAGAAGCACGUCUUAUUAGAAUUAUAAUUUU
RNAcentral lists this long non-coding RNA (213 nucleotides) under Mytilus galloprovincialis (Mediterranean mussel). Lineage: Eukaryota; Metazoa; Mollusca; Bivalvia; Mytilida; Mytilidae. The record is from RNAcentral.